RNAcentral lists this ribosomal RNA (279 nucleotides) under uncultured bacterium. RNAcentral's name for it is "partial 16S ribosomal RNA". It matches the Rfam family "Bacterial small subunit ribosomal RNA", at positions 506 to 784 of the family's 1533-position model. The record is from RNAcentral.
UGCCAGCAGCCGCGGUAAGACGGAGGGUGCUAGCGUUGUUCGGAAUGACUGGGCGUAAAGGGCGCGUAGGCGGUUUUGUUAGUCAGGCGUGAAAGCCCCGGGCUCAACCCGGGAACUGCGUUUGAUACUGCAAGACUUGAGGACGGAAGAGGAAAGUGGAAUUCCUAGUGUAGAGGUGAAAUUCGUAGAUAUUAGGAGGAAUGCCGAUGGGGAAGCCAGCCCACUGGACAGAUACUGACGCUAAAGCGCGAAAGCGUGGGUAGCAAACAGGAUUAGAUA